Molecule: small nuclear RNA, 103 nt
Organism: Vulpes vulpes (red fox)
Lineage: Eukaryota; Metazoa; Chordata; Mammalia; Carnivora; Canidae
Source: Ensembl
GCACUCACUUCAGCACAAAUAGUGAAAUUGGAACUGUACAAGGAGACUGGCAUGGCUUCUGCACAAGGAUGAGACACAAAUUUGUGAAGUGUUACCUUAAAAA